RNAcentral lists this ribosomal RNA (305 nucleotides) under uncultured bacterium. RNAcentral's name for it is "partial 16S ribosomal RNA". It matches the Rfam family "Bacterial small subunit ribosomal RNA", at positions 508 to 809 of the family's 1533-position model. The record is from RNAcentral.
ACAGCAGUAGCCGCGGGAAUACAGAGGGUGCGAGCGUUAAUCGGAUUUACUGGGCGUAAAGCGUGCGUAGGCGGCUUUUUAAGUCGGAUGUGAAAUCCCUGAGCUUAACUUAGGAAUUGCAUUCGAUACUGGGAAGCUAGAGUAUGGGAGAGGAUGGUAGAAUUCCAGGUGUAGCGGUGAAAUGCGUAGAGAUCUGGAGGAAUACCGAUGGCGAAGGCAGCCAUCUGGCCUAAUACUGACGCUGAGGUACGAAAGCAUGGGGAGCAAACAGGAUUAGAUACCCCCGUAGUCCCUGUCUCUUAUAU